GUCUAUAGCCAUGCCACCCUGAACAAGCCCAAUCUCGUCUGAUCUCGGAAGCUAAGCAGAGUCAGACCUGGUUAGUACUUGGAUGGGAGACCACUUAGGAAGACCAGGUGCUGUAGGCG
RNAcentral lists this ribosomal RNA (119 nucleotides) under Pteropus alecto (black flying fox). Lineage: Eukaryota; Metazoa; Chordata; Mammalia; Chiroptera; Pteropodidae. The record is from RNAcentral.